Molecule: unclassified non-coding RNA, 173 nt
Filed under: rhizosphere metagenome
Description: partial ribosomal RNA internal transcribed spacer region
Source: RNAcentral
GAGUUCAUGCCCGAAAGGGUAGACCUCCCACCCUUGUGUAUUAUUACUUUGUUGCUUUGGCGAGCUGCCUUCGGGCCUUGUAUGUUUGCCAGAGAAUAUUAAAACUCUUUUUACUAAUGUCGUCUGAGUACUAUAUAAUAGUUAAAACUUUCAACAACGGAUCUCUUGGUUCU